GGAAAACGGUGUUGGUUUUUACUAAGCUUCAAUGAUUCGUGUUGUCAUUUUCAAAACAAGAGAAUAAUGUUUUUAAUUUCAGAACUCCUAUCCAUUAGUAGGUGACUACUUCAUCAAGUCAGCUUUUCAUUUGGAAAGAAGAACCAGAAAAUGAACCUGGCACUAGAAGAAGCCCGUGUUCCUUCCACAGCUGGGAAAAGCGAUGGGCCUCUCUAGAGCAAGAUUUACCAAAGUAUGUACCAGACUCUUGAUGCUGGAUGUGAAGGCAGAGAAACAAUUUACUGUUUUAAAACAAAGAGCCUGUUCCUCAGGAGACGUAGACUGGUAAAAUUCGUGUGAAGGCACACACUAGCUUCCUUGUCUGCAAUGCAAUCCAACUUCAGGCUUGAAGACCCAACAGUCAGAGUACUGUGUCAAGCUGAGAACCUGUGGGUUGUUGUCCUGGACUCAGCUGCUUGUCUUGCCUCAACCUCUUCAGCAAAAAAUCUCUGUCAACCAAAAUUCAAUAAUUUCCUUUUGAAAAGCAUGAAUGAUAAAAGAGAAGGGGUAGAAUUUAUACUGGAUUUCAUACUAAAAGCAACAACUGUAAGUAUCAUGAUCUGUAAUGAAUGAUCAAUGAAUUAAGAACUUCUUGCUUUUACAAAACAACCUAUGAUGAAUACCCUUUGAUGAGGAUGGUUCUAUUAUGUUAACACCUCUUUUUGUUGUGAAAAACAGCAGAAGGUUGCCCCGAUACGCCCAUGCUGCCUGACCUGAGCACUGGUGCUGCUGGCACCCAGUGCCAAAAGA
Molecule: long non-coding RNA, 789 nt
Filed under: Phasianus colchicus (ring-necked pheasant)
Lineage: Eukaryota; Metazoa; Chordata; Aves; Galliformes; Phasianidae
Description: lncRNA (ENSPCLG00000007923.1)
Source: RNAcentral